Molecule: transfer RNA, 67 nt
Filed under: Tachypleus gigas (Indo-Pacific horseshoe crab)
Lineage: Eukaryota; Metazoa; Arthropoda; Merostomata; Xiphosura; Limulidae
Description: tRNA-Ile
Source: RNAcentral
GGUAAAGUGCCUGAUUAAAGGGUUAUUUUGAUAGAAUAAAUUAAGUAAUUUUACAUUACCUUUACCU